CCUACGGGGGGCAGCAGUGGGGAAUAUUGCACAAUGGGGGAAACCCUGAUGCAGCAACGCCGCGUGAGUGAAGAAGUCAUUCGUGAUGUAAAGCUCUAUCAGCAGGGAAGAAAAUGACGGUACCUGAGUAAGAAGCCCCGGCUAACUACGUGCCAGCAGCCGCGGUAAUACGUAGGGAGCGAGCGUUGUCCGGAAUUACUGGGUGUAAAGGGAGCGUAGGCGGGGAUGCAAGUUGGGUGUCAAAACUACCGGCUCAACUGGUAGUCGCACUCAAAACUGCAGCUCUUGAGUGAAGUAGAGGCAGG
Molecule: ribosomal RNA, 305 nt
Filed under: uncultured bacterium
Lineage: Bacteria
Description: bacterial SSU rRNA
Rfam family: Bacterial small subunit ribosomal RNA
Source: RNAcentral